RNAcentral lists this transfer RNA (75 nucleotides) under bacterium. RNAcentral's name for it is "tRNA-Val". It matches the Rfam family "tRNA". Rfam says of the family: Transfer RNA (tRNA) molecules are approximately 80 nucleotides in length. Their secondary structure includes four short double-helical elements and three loops (D, anti-codon, and T loops). RNAcentral also lists the same sequence under 1 other name. The record is from RNAcentral.
AGGCGCGUAGCUCAGUGGUAGAGCAUUGCUUUGACGUAGCAAGGGUCAGCGGUUCGAUCCCGCUCGUGCCUACCA